ACCUAUGGGUCAGGCGCCGCGGGAGAGCCUUGCGCUCUGCCGUGGUCCAAUGCCGCGGUCUUCCAACCUGCGGUUGCCUGGCCCACCAGG
Molecule: non-coding RNA, 90 nt
Filed under: Hyphomicrobiales bacterium
Lineage: Bacteria; Pseudomonadati; Pseudomonadota; Alphaproteobacteria; Hyphomicrobiales
Source: RNAcentral